UCAGGUUAAGGUCACAGGGUUUCAUUGAAAGUUUUAAGCCGGGGGAGGUAAUUUUUAGAGGCCGGCCGCCUAAUGUGGGAUAGAUGAUUGGAGUGAAGUCGUAACAAGGUAGCCGUAUCGGAAGGUGCGGCUGGAUCACCUCCUUUCUAAGGAUAAGGAACUGCGCAUUGGUCUUGUUUAGUCUUGAGAGGUCUUGUGGGGCCUUAGCUCAGCUGGGAGAGCGCCUGCUUUCACGCAGGAGGUCAGCGGUUCGAUCCCGCUAGCUCCAUUGGUGAGAGAUCACCAAGUAAUGCACAUUGAAAAUUGAAUAUCUAUAUCAAAUAGUAACAAGAAAAUAAACCGAAAACGCUGUAGUAUUAAUAAGAGUUUAUGACUGAAAGGUCAGAAAAUAAGGUUAAGUUAAUAAGGGCGCACGGUGGAUGCCUUGGCACUAGGAGCCGACGAAGGACGUGACAGACGACGAUAUGCCUUGGGUAGCUGUAAGUGAGCGAUGAUCCAGGGAUUUCCGAACGAAGAAAAACCAAAAGGCCCGGGGACGUUUUUCACAGGCCCGGGGAACGUAUUCACAGGCCCGGGGAACAUAUUCACCAGCCCCGGAAUUAUAUUCCACAGUCCCUUAUAUACUUAUACACAGAAAGGUUAGAUUACGUAAGGUGUGUGUGGUGUUUUUUUU
This 673-nucleotide unclassified non-coding RNA is filed under the name Streptococcus pneumoniae. RNAcentral describes it as "partial contains 16S ribosomal RNA, 16S-23S ribosomal RNA intergenic spacer, and 23S ribosomal RNA". The stretch from base 393 to 673 matches the Rfam family "Bacterial large subunit ribosomal RNA", at positions 1 to 232 of the family's 2925-position model. The record is from RNAcentral. Lineage: Bacteria; Bacillati; Bacillota; Bacilli; Lactobacillales; Streptococcaceae.